UUCGAUUUUGUUAUUUUGACAAAUGCUUGCGUUUUUUAAAGUCGAGACUUCUUCAUUGUAAAACGUUGGUUGAUUUUGGUAUUUUAUUUGGUUUUUGAUAGUUGACUUAAUAGUCUGCUGCGGUGUAGGACUCCGUGGAGUUUGUUGCUUGUUGCUUACCAUUAACCUCGAAGGAAUUGGCAGUGAAAUGGCAGUGCAAUAUCUGGGGAUUGUCUUUGUGAUUGUGUUAUCAUCUAAUUCUUAAAUAGUUGACUUAAUAGUCUACUGUGCUGUAGGACUCCUUGGACUUUGUUGUUUGCUGCUUACCAUUACCUAGAACGAAUUUGCCGUCAAAUGGCAGUGCAAUAACUGGGGAUCGUCUCUUUGAUUGUGUCAGCAUCUAAUUGUUAAAUAGUUGACUUAAUAGUCUACUGUGCUGUAGGACUCCUUGGACUUUGUUGUUUGCUGCUUACCAUUACCUAGAACGAAUUUGCCGUCAAAUGGCAGUGCAAUAACUGGGGAUCGUCUCUUUGAUUGUGUCAGCAUCUAAUUGUUAAAUAGUUGACUUAAUAGUCUACUGUGCUGUAGGACUUCUUGGACUUUGUUGUUUGCUGCUUACCAUUACCUAGAACGAAUUUGCCGUCAAAUGGCAGUGCAAUAUCUGGGGAUCGUCUCUGUGAUUGUGUAAGCAUCUAAUUGUUAACAUAGAAGUAGUGGUCGUUUAAAAUGGCGCUACCUAAUCAGCGAGGAAUAAGCGGGAAUUAACAAGGAAAAGUGCGGGAAGGCAGUCUCCCGUUGUCGUCGUUGUUAGUCAGUCGUGUCGUUGUCUUAUGCCUUGUUCUCGUUUGUGUAUAUUACUGUUAGUCGUCCAUACUUGUAAAUAUUGUAUAUUGUGUAAAUAAACUGUUUAAACCA
Molecule: long non-coding RNA, 894 nt
Filed under: Agrilus planipennis (emerald ash borer)
Lineage: Eukaryota; Metazoa; Arthropoda; Insecta; Coleoptera; Buprestidae
Description: uncharacterized LOC108733958, transcript variant X3
Source: RNAcentral